GAUGUAACAAAAAAUUGUUUUCUUACUUCAAUCAUGUAUAGAAGUAACUAUAGCGAUCAGCAAAAUGAUUGAGUGGGCCUGUGUCGACAAGGUAGAGUAUUCUGCUGGUAAGGGUGUUAAGGUAGAGUACUGUGUCGACAAGGCAGAGGAAUCUGUUGAUAAGGGUCUAUAGGGUAAAAUAUGCUAUAACAGGUUGACUGGCAGAACAUUUUGAUUGAAUGCACAAACUGGAAAGCUGUUGGUAAUAUCAAUAUUUUCAGUUGAUUACAAAUUACUUUACAGCAAAAAUAUGUCAAUAGAAGCUAAGUGGAGUUACAUUUCGUAAAUUCUUAUAAAAAAGGGAGUGACCUAUUGGCAGGCACACGCAACCAAUGUAUUAAUAUAAAGGAAAAGUCAAAAAGUACAGAUAAUUUUGCUUAAUUUAAAGGUAUAUAUUAAACAUAUUGAAUCCAAUAUUAUAUGGAAACAGACAAUAUUUUGUAAUAAUGAUAUAUUUCAAGAUAUUAGAAAAAUAUACAUCUAUCCAUUAUACUCAUAAAAAAUUGCACUGAAUCAGGUUCACAAAGUGAACAAGUUAUCACUGUAUUUUUAAUUCGAAAAACCGCAUUUGUUGUAUAAAUGUAAAGUUCUUUAACAUAUUCUUUAUCGGGAGUAUUUUAUUCAGUUAUCCAACUCUAUCGCAAUUUAUUCUGUUAAUUCAGAACAUAAAUAGAUUGUAUAACUUGAUUACAAUAUUAGAUUAUGGGAAAGUAUGUUUAUUAGUGUUUAUAAGUGCGUUUCAUAAUUCGUACUAUUACUUUGUUAUGAAUUAUUGUUGUCUUAUGAUGUUUUAAUAUUGGUCAUAUUUCUACAAAUAUAAGUGAUAAUUUGUUAUACAAAAUUUUACUUCAAAUCAAUGACGUCAAUCACUGAUGACCAAUGAGCUACAAAAAGAAAUUUUGAUGUUGGUCAAUAGUGAUCGAGGCGAUCGCAAAUUUAUUAACAUUGGAAAAAAGUAUUAUUAAGCAUUUGUUAUAUAAUUAUAAUUUAAUCAACCAAGACAUGCACUAUUAAUAUAUCAACACUACUUAAAACAGUAUUUCUUCAACAAUUCGUUAUUAAAAGAGACAGUCUUUCAUUCAACUGUAAAGCAUAUAUACGUUUUACGUUAAAAAUCUGAUAUUGUAAUUUUUUCACAUUUAUCAAACUGGCAAAUCUAUACAAAACUGAAUAGUAUGUAUAAUUUAAUUGUAAUAAAUGUACUAUAUCUAUACUCACACCACACGCCAAAUUUUAUAUAGAUACAUACACGCACACACACGAAACAUAUGCUUUUAUAAGUCACCUGGGAUAUAUAAAAGAACUCUUGUAUUAUUGUUACACUAAAUAAACAACAUUAACUUCAUUUUUUGAUUUCCCUUAUUUCUACACAUUAUUUAAUAUUUAUUUCAUUUAUCUACGUCUCUGUAUUUUUAAAAUGUUGAAAUAUGUUGAAUGUUAUUUUAAAAUGUAUAUUUAAGUAGAUUUCAAAUAAAUUUUAAUAUAAUUAUGUCAUCAAAUACGAUCUAUGUACAUAAAAUAAUAAUUACCUGCCCUUAAAUAAUAAAAAAGGUAGAAGUGUCUGUUGAAAAUGUAAGUAAGUCACACAGAUUAUUAAAUAUACACAAAUGAACAUGGUAAAAAGUUCUUAUUAUUACAUCUACACAUGGCAAAUUUAAUGAAUCAACAAAACAUUCUUUUUAUAUCUAUAUAAUGUUAUAUUCAUUGAUAAAUAAAUCAAUCUAACAUAAUCAUUCUCAUCCAUGUAGACAUAUUUCGUAUGUAAUAUAGUAAAUAAUAUUAUGAGUAGUGAUUUUACAACAGAAACAAGUAAAAAUAGAUUUACUCUAAUCAACGUGCUCGUUGUUUAUAACGAUAUAAUUUUUAGUACUAUUUUGUUAAUAAACCUUUCUACCUUACACUUUUCACAAAAAGAUAUUUUCUUAUAAGUUUAUCUAAAUUUUGUAAGGGUGAAAAUAUUUAAUAAACGAGUGAAGUUGAUUACUUUACAAGUAAAUUGCACCAUAAUAUUAUAUAACAACAUUUUCAGAUUACAGUAUAUUAAAACACAGUAUAACAUCUCUUUGCUAAAAAAAAUUGGAGAUUCUUUCAAGACACGUAACAAAUUAAUAUAUUUAAGAAGAAAUUAAAUAAUUGUAAUUCCUAGUUACAUUUGAUUAUUUUGAUUCUUUUACUAUUCGUUUCAUUGUUAACGACAAAUUUACGAGUACUGUAAAUUUACAGAAAUUCAUGCAAUACUCAUUUUUAGUAUGUAUUUCUUUAAAAUUACAUACUCCUCGAAUUUGUUCUGAUAUAGCUUAUAAUUAUAUUUUAUAUCUAACAGUUCAUAUCUUUAUAUUACGUUAUGUUUCAACGUAUUUUAAUAUUGCAAACUAUUAAUAUUCAAUCAUUGUUAUAAAACUUUACUGUUUCUUUCACUUAAUGUUAAACAGUUGCAAGUUGCAAUGAAAAGUAUUUGAAGAAUUGUCCUUUCUUCAUGAGUUGACUAAACUUAGCGUUAAUUUUAUUUUCAUGUAAAAAAAUGUCGAAAUGGAAACAAAUUUUGAUUUUAUGUUACACUUAUUACAAGUGAACAUGGUAUUUUCUUAAUUAUACAAAAUACAUUGUAUUAUUUAAAUUUCUUUUCUAAUUUUUACUCACUUCUCCUCUUCAUUCUAUUGUUCUGUUAACAAUAUAAGUACUAUAUAAUUAAUUUGACCAUCACAGAGAAAAAUUGGUUUUACAGUCUGUGAUGAGCAACUUUAAAUAUAAAAAUUUAUAGUCAUUGUGUUGUAUGAUCUUAAGGUUUUUCUAUAACAGUGGUCGGCAACCUUUCUCGAUCUUGGGUCAGGUUUGAUAAACAAUAAUUCUUUCCUAAAGUUCGCGGAUUAGUAUUAUUUGUCAAUACCUUAAUUAAGUGAAAUUACUUAUACAAGUUAAGACUGUUAAAGAAAUUAAACAACUCAAUUAAAAAUAUUAGUAAAUGAUGUGUGUGGUCGCUUGGUUUUAAAAUAUUUGACUUUAUAUUUGUAACUUUUAAAUGAACACAAUCAUUUUACUGUACUGCAAUAAGACGAUUCCAAAUUAUUAAGACAUUUCAUUUUUGACUAUUCUGGCUUGGUAAACAAUUGAUGAUUCAAUUGUUUUGACUUUAUGAGUAUCAUUGGCUAAUCUGCAGGUCAUAGGUUGCCGACCCACUACUCUAUAUAUCGGCUUUAUGGGAGGUGUGAUACGACAGAGAAAUGAGAUUCUUCAGGUGAAAAUAUAUUACAUUAAAAAGUAACUUUGAUUGAAAAUAAUAAUCUUGUUAGUUACAUACAAACCUAGUUAUGAACGUAACAAAAUAAGUACCUCUGCUAUUCUUGACUAUGACACUAUUUUUCACAAAUGUAUAUUCCACUUAAACAAUCGUUUUUAAUUAUUAAUCCGCACACGGGUAAACGUUUGUCUUAUUUUGAUUAUAAUGGAAUAAACAUAUUUCUGGCGCCUACUUACAUUGACGUUGAAACCAUUUAAUCAGCCGUUUGAAAUGAAUAAGAAUGAAACAUAAAUGUACUAAGUUAUAAAAUGAUGAAAAGCGUAUAAAUUUGUGCCUGUAAAUGUGGAAUUUCUAAUAUGGGUUUAUAACUGUUUUAAUCUAUAACACUUAACUCCAUUUCUGGAGAUCAAUACUCAAACAAAUUCGAAAUGAUUAAAAAAUAUCUUCGAAUAUACUGAUAAAUUCUGUGCUUCUGUAAUGUCUUUAUAAAAUGGACUUCAAUGAAUACAAUGAGGCCAGCAAAUAUAAGCAAUUAACAGUAGGCAAAAAAUAUUAAACAUUUAACUACAUUGUUAAAUAAAGGAAUUUUUUUGUUGGCACUUAAUGUACAAAAAUGAUACAAUUUAAAUGAAUAAUUAAUAUACAUUAAGAAUAAUAAAAAAAAAAAUUGAAGGGCUAUCUGUCAGAAAAUAUAAUAUUAGAGUUGAUGUAACUCAUUCUAGAGUCUCAAUGUGGUAUGUUAAGUGCAUUAAGAAAUUUGAGAUAUGUACAUGUAUAAAAAUUUGUAUGAAUGUGUGCAGCAAAUUUUAGCUAUUAAUAAUUUAAAUACGGAUAUACCACUGUCGUGUAAAACUAUUUAAAAUUAUCUUAUGUUUCACUUACGAAUGCGUCAUUUUCUGAUUAUAUCACACCUUAUGAAACAUUUUGUAUAAAAAUGUAUAACCCCAAAAAAAGACCGAAACCUUUCAUUUUAACAAUAAAUAAGUUAACAUUCUAAUGUUAACACACAAAACUAACAUAUCGUAUGAAUACAUUCAUAAGAAAUCAAUGAUUCUUCGAGAUAUGUAUAAUAAACAUAUGAAUCUAAUAAUUCUGUACUUAUAAAGAAACAUUCUAGUAUUUGAGAGGAAAGUCAAU
This is a long non-coding RNA of Hylaeus anthracinus, 4414 nucleotides long. RefSeq lists it as uncharacterized. Lineage: Eukaryota; Metazoa; Arthropoda; Insecta; Hymenoptera; Colletidae. The transcript is spliced from 3 exons. The record is from RefSeq and is a predicted model, not a curated record.